ACAUGCCUACAACAUAGAGUUAAUGCAUCGGAUCCCAUUAGAACUCCACAGUUUAGCGCGCUCGGUCUAGAGUAGUACUGCAAUGGGUGACCGCUCGGGAAGUACUAGUAUUUUACAUGCC
Non-coding RNA from Picea glauca (white spruce), 121 nucleotides. The record is from Rfam. NCBI's taxonomy places the organism in Eukaryota, Viridiplantae, Streptophyta, Pinopsida, Pinales, Pinaceae.